UUAAAAAGACAUUGUUACUCCUCAAAAACAUUCAAUUCAUUCUAUUGUUGUAGUUAUGCCUAGGUGGUACAAUCAAUCAUCAACGGCGAAAUCAGUUUUUGAGGAAUAACGACUAAACACUUCGUUCAUUAACAAGGUACGUAUAGUAUAGUAGGAGUAGGAGUAGUUUUUUUCAAUUUCAUUCAUAUACUCAAAAUGUUCGCUACACAUCGCCAUAGAUCCCUUCUCCAUCUCAACGCUCUAACUUUCUCACAAUCCCUAAAACCUAACCCUCUUUUCUUACCAUUUUCUCUCCAUUUCUCCACCAACACUUCCGAUUCACCAUCAUUUGCAGUCUCCUACCUCAUCCACAAUUUUGGCUUCUCCCCACUCUUAGCAAACAAACUUUGCUCCACUUACAGAGUUAAAUUUAAGACUGCCCAAAACCCUGAUUCAGUUCUCACUUUCUUUAGAAAUCAAGGUUUCUCUGAUUCCCAACUACGGGAUACCAUUGCAAAGGCACCAUGGUUGCUUUCCUGCAACCCCCUCAAAAGGGUGUUGCCAAAGUUUCAAUUUUUUCUCUCCAAAGGUGCUUCUAACUCUGACAUUGUUAACCUUGUUAGUAAGAACCCUUUGCUCCUGUCUUCAAGUCUGGAGAAUCAAAUUGUUCCAGCCUAUGAAUUUGUUUAUAGAUUCUUGAAAUCUCACAAGAACACUAUUGCUUGUGCACGUGGAAAUCCAAGUUUCUUUGGACACAUUUAUAUGCCACGUAACAUCAAAUUGCUUAUUGAGAAUGGAGUAACAGAUUCAAACAUUGCAACAUUGCUUCAGUUGUGGAGCAGGGCAUUCAAAUUGAGAACAACUGACACACUGAAGGUGGUGGAGGAAUUAAAGGAUAUGGGGUUUAAUCCUAAACAAACAAUUUUCGCAGUAGCAAUGGCUGCCAAAGCAUCUCUAAGCAAAGCCCGGUGGAAAGAGAAAGUUGAUGCCUUUAAGAAAUGGGGUUGGUCUGAUCAAGAUGUUAUGGAAGCAUUUAGAAGGCAGCCUCAUUGUAUGUUAACAUCCAUUGAUAAAAUUAAUUUAGUGAUGGACUUUUGGGUUAAUGAGUUGGGUUGGGAUGCUCUGGCCAUUGUCAAAAGACCAAGGGUUUUGGGGGCUAGUCUGGAGAGAAGGAUCAAACCAAGAGCAUCAGUUCUGCAAUAUCUUCUGAACAAAGGUUUGCUAAAAAAGAAUGCAAGCUUAACUUAUCCAUUUGUAGUCGUUGAUACUAUGUUUCUUGACAAAUAUGUAAAACGUUUUAAGGAGGAAUCUUCUUAUCUGUUGAACCUUUAUGAAGAAAAACUCAAUCUUGCACAUGCCAGGGACAAAACCAGCAUGUCAUGAACAAAUUUUCAGAUGUUGCAGUUUCAUUGACAUUCUGCUGAAAUAGUAUCAUCAUCAUCUAUUUUCGUUGAAGUUGAAUAGAUAACAUCUCAAGAAUUGUGCACACCUUGACGACGAAGACCUUGAAAUAAAUUUCAAGAAAAUCCUGUUUCGUAUACAGGUACCAGCAGCAGCAGAGCUGCAAUAUGCGGCAGAAAGAAUUAGUCUCAUCCAUUUAGGAAGAAGUACAUGGCCCUCAAUUUGAUUAUGAAGCUAGGAAGAAUUUAUAUGGUCUUCAAUUUGUUUGAGUUGAUUCUUCUAACAGAACAUGUUUGUAUGAAAUCUCUUUGCAUAUUUUGUAGCAGAGUUAUGGGACAGAAUUUCUUGAAAUAAAAUUGAAUGGAAAUCAGUUUUGAUUGCUUUA
This is an RNA transcript of Cicer arietinum (chickpea), 1765 nucleotides long. RefSeq lists it as uncharacterized. NCBI's taxonomy places the organism in Eukaryota, Viridiplantae, Streptophyta, Magnoliopsida, Fabales, Fabaceae. The record is from RefSeq and is a predicted model, not a curated record.